AACGAACGCUGGCGGCAUGCCUAACACAUGCAAGUCGAGCGAGACCUUCGGGUCUAGUGGCGCACGGGUGCGUAACGCGUGGGAACCUGCCCUUAGGUUCGGAAUAACUCCCCGAAAGGGGUGCUAAUACCGGAUAAUGUCUUCGGACCAAAGAUUUAUCGCCUUUGGAUGGGCCCGCGUUGGAUUAGCUAGUUGGUAGGGUAAAAGCCUACCAAGGCGACGAUCCAUAGCUGGUCUGAGAGGAUGAUCAGCCACACUGGGACUGAGACACGGCCCAGACUCCUACGGGAGGCAGCAGUGGGGAAUAUUAGACAAUGGGCGAAAGCCUGAUCCAGCAAUGCCGCGUGAGUGAUGAAGGCCUUAGGGUUGUAAAGCUCUUUUACCCGGGAUGAUAAUGACAGUACCGGGAGAAUAAGCUCCGGCUAACUCCGUG
RNAcentral lists this ribosomal RNA (433 nucleotides) under uncultured bacterium. RNAcentral describes it as "partial 16S ribosomal RNA". It matches the Rfam family "Bacterial small subunit ribosomal RNA", at positions 29 to 507 of the family's 1533-position model. The record is from RNAcentral.